Caretta caretta (loggerhead turtle) is the source of this 3744-nucleotide long non-coding RNA. RefSeq lists it as uncharacterized. NCBI's taxonomy places the organism in Eukaryota, Metazoa, Chordata, Testudines, Cheloniidae. The record is from RefSeq and is a predicted model, not a curated record.
UUAAGAAGCAAAGGAAAUGCACACAGACAACUCACUCCCUCUCUCUUCUGAGUGUCGUUUCCACGACUGAAGCUAGCAAACGAGUUCAGUUUGGAGGGACCCCUGAAAACACCCCACCCCUCCCGGGCAGUAAGGGACUAAUCUGUCAGUCAGCUUUGGACAAACAUUUUGGACUCUAGAGCCAUAGAUCAGCCUUUUAAAGUUCCUACAAAAUCUAAGACCAGUAGAAAUGUCUCCCGAGAACGUCCCAUUGAAAUUGCUUAAUAAACAAAUAUUUCCUUGCAGGGAUUGCAACCCCCACGCUGCAGCUUGGUGAAGCAUUAGGAGGUUAUUUGCUUUUUGGCAACGCCCACCGCACCAUGGAUUUAUCUGCUCUGUAAAGCAACAAGAAGGUCUCUCAGCCCACUCUGAAAUCAGUGCCCUGAACGCAUGGAUGGGAGCAUGGAGAGAGACGUGUAACAAGCAGUGGUCACCUGAAACCGUUAGAAGACGUUGAUCCUGCUGAGAGUGGGUUUCCUGGGCUCUACUGACUCAUGGAGGCACAGCCAGAGAUGCCAAGGAAGAAAGAUGAUUGCAGCAAAGAGUGUGUUGGUGCAGAAGGAGAGAGGUGUCCUACUCUAAGUUUCAGUGAUAAACUUGCAAACCUCUUCUGCCUAGCAUCGCGUCCUUUAUUUGUCCAUUGCUGCAUAUUGUGAUGUGCAGGCUGAAUGGCCACUAAAGUGCCACCCAUGAAGCACAGCAUCAAAGAGAACCAACCGUUUUUUAGUGGUUUUUGAAGGUAUAGUAUAGCACGGUGCUGCUGCAUAAGAUGAAACACUGUUCUGUUCAUACACUGCCUCUGAAUGUCUAAAAUCAAAUUCUCUGCUUGUAUUUCAGGAAUCAUGAACAGGGAACAUUUUGAACAAAGUAUAAUCAAGAUUGCUGUGGCAUUAAAUGCAUACACAGAUUGGGCGUUGUUUCAUCCCAGGUUAGGUGGUAUUAAACAGUAAUAUUAGACUCUUGUAAGCUGCCCACUCAGAUUUUACUCAGUGGAGUCUAAAUAUACUGUAUAUUUCAUUUAAAUCUCAUAGCCCAAAGCAUUCAGCAUCCUUUCAGGCAACAAUCCAAUACACCCGGUUUAUCUCUUGGGAAUGUAAGCUCCAGCUGAGUAAGCAAGUAUCUCAUCCCAGUACUCUGACAUUAACCACACAGUCCAAGUAGGGCCCAGUCCUGUAAUGUACCGAACACUCUCAGCCUUCCAUAGAAGUGGGUCAAAGGUGCUUAACACUUCACAGGAGCUCUUGCUGCAUUACAGAAUCAGACUGUUCAUUACAGCAGCGAUUUCAGCUCUGUUUGUGUGUUGCAAGUCACCAGGUAUCCAGCCUGACCAAUUAUUUGAUUUCUCAUAAGUGCCUCCACGGUUGAAUCCUUCUUCCUAUUUUUCUCAUAUGGAAGCUGUCCAUCAAAAAAUACUUUUAGUAGGCUAGUUUUCCAUUUAUAUUCAUGUUGUGAUGGGAGAGUGAAAUUUACAAUGUUUGGGGGGUUUUUUUCUGUCAAUCCUGUUCUCCAUUUUCCACCAAAUGUCUGAUUCAAACAGGAGCAAAAGAAUGUUGAAGGCAAAUAGUGUUUUUCAUCAAAUAGUGAAUUUAACUACAGAAGAAUGUUGAAGGCAAAUAGUGUUUUUCAUCAAAUAGUGAAUUUAACUACUGAAUGUUAUGCAAAUAUCACCUAUUUAUGUUUCAAUCAUUUCUUUGUACUGCAGUCAGUAGGACAAAUCUUAUUCCCCUGUUAACAUGAACAGGGCAACUGAUAAGCAGGAGCUAGUCAGGUGAGUAAGGUUUUUCAAGUAUGCUAACUAAUUUGUAUUAAAAUGCUUAUUCUUAUAAAGCAAAUAUUAAAUAGGUUUUAUUGUACAAGCUUAGUUUCUUUUUCUAGAGCUAUUCACAUAUAGCAUAGAUGCAACAAUGUAGGUUUUCUGAAAGUAGAAGUGAUUGACUAUGAACACCCCUCCUAAAACUAGAGUUGAAAGUCAGGUCUUGGGGCGGGGAACAAACACAAUGGCCUUGAGGUAUUAACCAUGUAGAUGUAGUGGCAGAACGGUAGGAUUAUUUUUGAAUGUGUGCUCAAUUUUUUGAAUGUACAAGGACUGAGGCAGGGGGAGAAAGUGUAGGAACUUAAGCCCUGAUUCAGGACAGCUCUCAAGCAUGUGAGCAGUCCAAGCUCUGUUCUUCAAAGCAUAAAAGUACAUGCUCAAACUUUGAGCACAGACUCAAAGUUCGAGUGAAGCCAAUGAAACUUAAACAAACAUGCUUAAGGUUCAGUGCUGGGCCUUAUUUACAGUAAAGGAUCCCCAUUCCACAAUCUAGGAGCUGUCAUCAGGUUUAUUAAUACUUUAUGUAUUGCUCAAGUUUUGCUGCUCCUCCCUCCCUCUCACUCCAUCUCCACCAGGCAUCAUGAGGCAAAACAAUUUUGGGUUUCAUCCACUGAAGGAAUUGAGAAUUCCCUUAAAUAGGCCCAACCUGAGAGCGUCUUAAGACCACCUGAGUUUAGCCACUGUCUUCAAGGAGAGCAGGAUUGGUCCCUAAGCACAUUUUAUCUAUCUCAGGUAAGCAAACCUCAGCAACUGAGCUGUAACAGCAGCCAACACUUCAGAGUAUAAUUUGCCCUGACACAGGCUGUACCCCUUUCUUCUUGUUAAAUACAGAUUGUUUAAGCCCCACAGUGAAAAACUAACCCACAGGUCUGCCUUGGUUUCAGGAGCGGGUGUCCCAUUGCUAUAAAUUAGCAGCAGGGUGUGGCAGUGAUCAACACGGUAGCACACUUUUCGACCUCUUUGCAGCAUUGCCAUGUGCACACCUAGGGCCAUGCCUUUUAUUUAAUUAAUAAAUAAAUAAAUGACCUGAGCCACAAUGUUCAGACUGGCAUACAAUUCCCCUGAAGUUUGAGGGUGUUUAGAUCAUCCGGUUAUAAGAUAGACCCAGACCUGAACUCCACAGCUCACCUUCGGGCAUGUUUUGAUCCAGGUGUUUGCUUUGAGUCUACCUCUAAUCCUUAGUGCUACAGAAGUAUACAGCCAGACAAAAGCUACAUCUUGCACAGGCAUGCAGGUGGUUAGCACAGAUAUCCCAGGUGGAUAAUUUUGCUGAAUCCACUACCACAGUGGGUCUCAAGCUGUAAUCGCCUACGCUGCUUCUGUCACAACAAUGAAGCAUCUGUCAGUCUUCAAGCUGUGACUCUUGCUGCUAGUUGGAGCUCAGUUAAAGUUUCUCUUCAGGUUUCCAGCUGCUGUUUUGGUUUGCUUGACCAGCUAAACUCAAGCCAUCCCUGCUUCACAGCCUGUGCAGCUGUUUUUCUGUGUGGGGUGUCUUUGAUGUAAAUUCAACUGUUGAUCAAACUUUCAGACAGUGACAGGAUAGCAAAUACACAGGAAGACAGAACCAAAAUGCAGAGUGCCCUGGAGAGAUUAGUGGAAACCCGAAGACGACAAAAUGAGAUUCAAUCCUAAUGAAAACUUGAAGCCCCAUUUCUUCUCUUUAAACAGUUGUGACAGGGUCAGGCCAGUGGCUAUAGGAGAGUAGUUUUGUGUGUUUCCUUUUUUUUAAAAGGACCAGUAAUACUCAUAUUUAUUAACAAACCUGCAAACGGGGAAUACACAUUAAGUCAAUAUAUUUGAGCACAGAAAUAAAGAACACUAAUUGAACAGAGUCUUCAUUUUUCAGUUAUAAUAUUCCAAAGAGUCUAUUAAAGUUAUCUUUCAAGACUGCA